UACCCGCAGCUCAAGUGGUGGUCAUUAUUAUUGGGUCUAAAGCGUCCGUAGCUGGCUUGUUAGAUGCCUGGGUAAAUCGAUGCGCUUAACGUAUCGAAUUCCGGGUAGACCGGCAAGCUCGAGACCGGGAGAGGCGUGAGCUACUCGAGGGGUAGGGGUAAAAUCCUGUAAUCCUUCGGGGAGGACCAGUGGCGAAGGCGUCACGCUAGAACGGCUCUGACAGUGAGGGACGAAGCCCUGGGGCGCAAACCGG
RNAcentral lists this ribosomal RNA (253 nucleotides) under uncultured bacterium. RNAcentral's name for it is "partial 16S ribosomal RNA". It matches the Rfam family "Archaeal small subunit ribosomal RNA", at positions 474 to 727 of the family's 1478-position model. The record is from RNAcentral.